UCCCUGGUGGUCCAGUGGUUAGGACUUGGCACUUUGGCUGCCAUGGCUUGGGUUCAAUCCCCGUUCAGGGAA
This 72-nucleotide transfer RNA is filed under the name Bos taurus (domestic cattle). RNAcentral's name for it is "tRNA-Gln (TTG) (tRNA-Gln-TTG-8-1)". It matches the Rfam family "tRNA". Rfam says of the family: Transfer RNA (tRNA) molecules are approximately 80 nucleotides in length. Their secondary structure includes four short double-helical elements and three loops (D, anti-codon, and T loops). Lineage: Eukaryota; Metazoa; Chordata; Mammalia; Artiodactyla; Bovidae. The record is from RNAcentral.